GACGAACGCUGGCGGCGUGCUUAACACAUGCAAGUCGAACGGUGAAGCGCCUUCCUUUUUGGUGGGUGUGGAUGAGUGGCGAACGGGUGAGUAACACGUGAGUAACCUGCCCCCUUCUUCUGGAUAACCGCAUGAAAGUGUGGCUAAUACGGGAUAUUCUGGGUCUGUCGCAUGAUGGGUCUGGGAAAGAUAUUGUUUCGGUGGGGGAUGGGCUCGCGGCCUAUCAGCUUGUUGGUGGGGUGAUGGCCUACCAAGGCGGUGACGGGUAGCCGGCCUGAGAGGGUGGACGGUCACACUGGGAGUGAGACACGGCCCAGACUCCUACGGGAGGCAGCAGUGGGGAAUAUUGCACAAUGGGCGCAAGCCUGAUGCAGCGACGCCGCGUGAGGGAUGGAGGCCUUCGGGCUGUGAACCUCUUUCGCCAGUGAAGCAGGCCUGCCUCGUUUGUGGGUGGGUUGACGGUAGCUGGAGAAGAAGCGCCGGCUAACUACGUG
RNAcentral lists this ribosomal RNA (494 nucleotides) under uncultured bacterium. Its description in RNAcentral is "partial 16S ribosomal RNA". It matches the Rfam family "Bacterial small subunit ribosomal RNA", at positions 28 to 507 of the family's 1533-position model. The record is from RNAcentral.